GGGAGCGUAGCUCAGAUGGUAGAGCUUUCGCUUAGCAUGCGAAAGGUAUCGGGAUCGAUACCCCACGCCUCCA
Molecule: non-coding RNA, 73 nt
Organism: Trichonephila clavipes
Lineage: Eukaryota; Metazoa; Arthropoda; Arachnida; Araneae; Nephilidae
Source: the annotation of a GenBank genome assembly